GUGCCAGCCGCCGCGGUAAGACGAACCGUGCGAACGUUAUUCGGAAUCACUGGGCUUAAAGCGCGUGCAGGCGGGCCGGCAUGUCGGUCGCUGAAAGCCCCCGGCUCAACCGGGGAAGCGGCGCCGAGACGAGUGGCCUGGAGGGGGGUAGGGGGACCUGGAACUUCCGGUGGAGCGGUGAAAUGCGUUGAGAUCGGAAGGAACGCCCGUGGCGAAAGCGAGGUCCUGGACCCCACCUGACGCUGAGACGCGAAAGCCAGGGGAGCGAACGGGAUUAGAAACCCCGGUAGUCC
This 293-nucleotide ribosomal RNA is filed under the name uncultured bacterium. RNAcentral describes it as "partial 16S ribosomal RNA". It matches the Rfam family "Bacterial small subunit ribosomal RNA", at positions 505 to 796 of the family's 1533-position model. The record is from RNAcentral.